GGACACCAGAGGAGGGAAGAAAAGGAGAAGGACAAAGUGGAGAGGGAGGAGAUGGAGCAAUCUCUUAUGUGAUCAUUCCAUCAACUCACAAAUUUUUCACCUAACACCUGGUUCAACUGUAAUGUGCUCAGCUCCAUAUAACCUGGACAGCAGCUGUGCCCUCACCCCCAAACUCAGCAAAUUAUUAUGGUCCUCUAAUCAAGAGAAUUUUGCUCCUGUUACUGCAUGUCUUGUGGGUUCAUCGUCAGACCAGUGAGUUGAUACCAAACUUCACCAAACGGCUCUCCGGAGCAACCGUUUAGAGGAAUCAUUAACCAAUGGCAACAGGAAUCCAAGGAUAAAGUGAUUUCCCUCCUGUUAACUCAUCUGCCUUUGCUGAAGCCAGGAAACCUCGACGCAAAAGUAGAAUAUAUGAAACUGCUGCCCAAAAUCCUGGCUCACUCUAUUGAACACAACCAGCACAUUGAGGAGAGCAGGCAGCUGCUGUCCUAUGCUUUGAUACAUCCAGCCACUUCAUUAGAAGACCGUAGUGCUUUAGCCAUGUGGCUGAAUCACUUGGAGGACCGCACAUCAACCAGCUUUGGUGGCCAGAACCGAGGCCGCUCAGACUCUGUGGAUUAUGGACAGACACACUACUAUCACCAAAGACAGAACUCCGAUGACAAGCUCAAUGGAUGGCAGAACUCUCGGGAUUCUGGGAUUUGCAUCAAUGCCUCCAACUGGCAGGACAAAAGCAUGGGGUGUGAGAAUGGCCAUGUGCCCCUCUACUCCUCCUCAUCUGUCCCCACCACAAUCAAUACGAUUGGAACCAGCACAAGUACAAGUAAGUUCCCCGGAAGCCCUUUAACGUAGUCUGGUUUGGCGAUUUGCUGUGUAUGUGGCAUGUCCUGCUGACAGUGUCUGCUCCAUGCACCCUGUGACCCUGGGAGAGAAGGACUGAUUGGAAUUGGCUGUGGGAAAGGUCCUUUGGACCCCAUAUUUGUUGCCUUUUGACUCUGCAAAGAUGAAAAUACUGGGAAGGUAAAAGUGACUGGUAGUCCAAAUUUGGGUUAUAAACAGACCAAAAAUAAAUAGAGAAUAAAUGAAAGGAGGAAACUUCCCGUUUCCACAAACAGAAA
Molecule: small RNA, 1118 nt
Filed under: Pongo abelii (Sumatran orangutan)
Lineage: Eukaryota; Metazoa; Chordata; Mammalia; Primates; Hominidae
Description: processed transcript
Source: RNAcentral